GUCUUCUUCAAGCACCCCCACCCCCCGACUCCAUCUUCUCCAACAACCCCUUCCAUAACUUUAUCUUCUUCGUGAGACAAACCAAACAACACCCAUGCUCUCUUCAUCAACCCCAUAUACCAAUAGCCCCCAAACUUGGAACAACCCAGCUCGCCGGAAAAAAUGCCAACGACCCCUGAACGUUAAUCAUCAAACGACCCCAUCUCUGCCUGAAACUCGCCGGAAAAACGAGCUCCACCAGCUCGUCGGAUUAACGAGUUCCAGACGCGACCCCUUCUUCAAGAGACCAAACCAUCUUCUUCAUCACCAGAGCUGGCAGGGAGUCCAAUGACAACUUUCGAGCUCUAGAGCUAACGAACAAAGGCGCUGAAAAUAGUGAGGAGUUAAAAAACUCGUUUAACACCCUUUUCCGGUGAGUCUCGAAUUUCUGGUUGAGCUUCGAUGACUGAAUUUCGACAAUCGUUUCCCUUGGUUCCUUGUCGAGGUCCGUUCACUGGUUCCGUUUAGUUCAAAGGUCGGAUAGCUAUUCUUCAAGUUGAAAUUUAGAGUUGUUCAUUGUUGAUUGCCAGAUUUGUUGGCUGCUGUUGGCUGAGCUUCGAUUUCAAGUAGAUCCAGGAGUUGCGGUUCAUGAUAGUGAGCAUUGAUCGUUCAUUAAGCAGGUCUCUGAGUUGACAAGGUAGCUGCAUGACGUUCGCAGCACUGUUCUUCUCCCUCAUAUCUUCCCUAUAUUUAUUUAGUAUUGUCUUCCAUACUUUUUCGGACUUUAUUGUAUUGAGAUAUAGUUGUAGUUGCUUGUGACUUGUGACACCCUGAUGUCGAGCUUGUGUGUUUAUUAUGCACUGGUUAAUUAGUCUUAUGUUAUGAAAUAUUA
Molecule: non-coding RNA, 871 nt
Organism: Nicotiana tabacum (common tobacco)
Lineage: Eukaryota; Viridiplantae; Streptophyta; Magnoliopsida; Solanales; Solanaceae
Source: RefSeq, a predicted model, not a curated record